GCCAAUGACGAUCCGUCCGACUGUUGAGCUUAUAGUGGUUCCAAGACCUUGAUAUCAAGGAGAACCUACUUGGAGUUGCCAUUGUUUGCCAUUGAUAAAAAAGGACUCUGUCUGAGGC
Nymphaea colorata (pocket water lily) is the source of this 118-nucleotide small nucleolar RNA. RefSeq annotates it as small nucleolar RNA Z278. Lineage: Eukaryota; Viridiplantae; Streptophyta; Magnoliopsida; Nymphaeales; Nymphaeaceae. The record is from RefSeq and is a predicted model, not a curated record. The transcript has a single exon.